CGGUGGAGGAGCCGUAGUGAAGUUCCUGUCGGCGACUCCUGCCGCCUCCCUCUGCACAUUCCGCCAACGCCACCACAUCUUCGUUUCAAACGACGGCGUCGCCCAAGCCCAGCCUCCAGAUCUCGGCCUUCUCCUCGUUUGCAUAAGAUCUAUUUUUUUUUUUUCGUUUCUUUAUUUUUAUUUUUAUUUUUUUUGUUUUGAUAGUAUCAUAUUGUAGAUCUAUUUUGUAGAUCUAUGAAUAUCAUUUGAAAAGAAUAAGUUUUUUUUCCUGCUAAGCUUUUUUUUUUAAUAUUGCAUAAGAUCUUUAUUUUUGUAGCCA
RNAcentral lists this long non-coding RNA (319 nucleotides) under Salvia miltiorrhiza (redroot sage). RNAcentral describes it as "long non-coding RNA (SMIL_LNC013398)". The record is from RNAcentral. Lineage: Eukaryota; Viridiplantae; Streptophyta; Magnoliopsida; Lamiales; Lamiaceae.